Brassica rapa (field mustard) is the source of this 71-nucleotide non-coding RNA. The record is from Rfam. NCBI's taxonomy places the organism in Eukaryota, Viridiplantae, Streptophyta, Magnoliopsida, Brassicales, Brassicaceae.
GUCGUUGUAGUAUAGUGGUAAGUAUUCUCGCCUGUCACGCGGAUGACCCGUGUUUGAUCCCGGCAACGGCU